Molecule: ribosomal RNA, 440 nt
Filed under: uncultured bacterium
Lineage: Bacteria
Description: partial 16S ribosomal RNA
Rfam family: Bacterial small subunit ribosomal RNA
Source: RNAcentral
CCUACGGGAGGCAGCAGUGGGGAAUAUUGCACAAUGGGGGAAACCCUGAUGCAGCGACGCCGCGUGAGUGAAGAAGUAUCUCGGUACGUAAAGCUCUAUCAGCAGGGAAGAAAAUGACGGUACCUGACUAAGAAGCCCCGGCUAACUACGUGCCAGCAGCCGCGGUAAUACGUAGGGGGCAAGCGUUACCCGGAUUUAAUGGGGUGAAAGGGAGCGUAGACGGCAGCACAAGUCUGGAUGGAAAUCCCGGGGCUUAACCCCGGAACUGCUUUGGAAACUGGGCGGCUGGAGUUCAGGAGGGGUAAGCGGAAUUCCUAGUGUAGCGGUGAAAUGCGUAGAUAUUAGGAGGAACACCGGUGGCGAAGGCGGCUUACUGGACUGUAACUGACGUUGAGGCUCGAAAGCGUGGGGAGCAAACAGGAUUAGAUACCCGAGUAGUC